UACGAAGGACCCGAGCGUUAUCCGGAUUCAUUGGGUUUAAAGGGUGCGUAGGCGGAUUGAUAAGUCAGUGGUGAAAGCCCAUCGCUCAACGAUGGAACUGCCAUUGAUACUGUCGAUCUUGAGUACAUUUGAAGUGGGCGGAAUGUGUCAUGUAGCGGUGAAAUGCUUAGAUAUGACACAGAACACCGAUUGCGAAGGCAGCUCACUAAACUGUAACUGACGCUGAGGCACGAAAGCGUGGGGAGCGAACAGG
RNAcentral lists this ribosomal RNA (253 nucleotides) under uncultured bacterium. RNAcentral describes it as "partial 16S ribosomal RNA". It matches the Rfam family "Bacterial small subunit ribosomal RNA", at positions 524 to 776 of the family's 1533-position model. The record is from RNAcentral.